UCCGUAGGCGGAUUGAUAAGUCAGAGGUGAAAUCCCACAGCUUAACUGUGGAACUGCCUUUGAAACUGUUAGUCUUGAGUUAUAUGGAAGUAGAUAGAAUGUGUAGUGUAGCGGUGAAAUGCAUAGAGAUUACACAGAAUACCGAUUGCGAAGGCAGUCUACUAUGUAUAUACUGACGCUAAUGGACGAAAGCGUGGGGUGCGAACAGGAUUAGAUACCCUGGUAGUCC
RNAcentral lists this ribosomal RNA (229 nucleotides) under uncultured bacterium. Its description in RNAcentral is "partial 16S ribosomal RNA". It matches the Rfam family "Bacterial small subunit ribosomal RNA", at positions 568 to 796 of the family's 1533-position model. The record is from RNAcentral.